CGGGCGCCGAAGGAGCAGCACCUCCCCGUCAAUCUCUCAGGCACACAGGACCGUGCGGG
RNAcentral lists this small RNA (59 nucleotides) under Rhodococcus sp. WAY2. RNAcentral's name for it is "Glycine". It matches the Rfam family "Glycine riboswitch aptamer", at positions 33 to 90 of the family's 94-position model. From Rfam's summary of the family: This family represents the bacterial glycine riboswitch. Glycine riboswitches usually consist of two metabolite-binding aptamers domains with similar structures in tandem. Lineage: Bacteria; Bacillati; Actinomycetota; Actinomycetes; Mycobacteriales; Nocardiaceae. The record is from RNAcentral.